CCUACGGGAGGCAGCAGUGAGGAAUAUUGGUCAAUGGGCGGGAGACUGAACCAGCCAAGCAGCGUGAGGGAGGACGGCACAGAGGAUUGUAAACUUCUUUUAUAUGGGAACAAAGUCUAGGACGUAUACCCGGCUGAGUGUACCUUAUGAAUAAGGAUCGGCUAACUCCGUGCCAGCAGCCGCGGUAAUACGGAGGAUCCGAGCGUUAUCCGGAUUUAUUGGGUUUAAAGGGUGCGUAGGCGGGUUGUUAAGUCAGUUGUGAAAGGUUGCGGCUCAACCGUAGAAUCGCAGUUGAUACUGGCAGUCUCGAGUACAGUAGAGGUAGGCGGAAUUCGUGGUGUAGCGGUGAAAUGCUUAGAUAUCGCGAAGAACUCCGAUUGCGAAGGCAGCCUGCUGG
Molecule: ribosomal RNA, 397 nt
Filed under: uncultured bacterium
Lineage: Bacteria
Description: partial 16S ribosomal RNA
Rfam family: Bacterial small subunit ribosomal RNA
Source: RNAcentral